This is a non-coding RNA of Odocoileus virginianus texanus, 6102 nucleotides long. The record is from RefSeq and is a predicted model, not a curated record. Lineage: Eukaryota; Metazoa; Chordata; Mammalia; Artiodactyla; Cervidae.
CGUCACGACCCCGGGAGAGCGGCGCUCCAGGACGGUGGUGAUGUUCAGUGCAACGAGGCGGUAGCCGGGCUUCCUGGGGUAGUGGUCUAGUUGGGCGCUUCCUCUGCGCUCUCGCUCCCCUUCCCCUGUCCUGGCCAUGCGCCCGGCCUUCGCAGUGGGCCUGGUUUUCGCAGGCUGCUUCAGUAACGUGAUCUUCCUAGAGCUCCUGGCCCGGAAACAUACAGGAUGUGGGAACAUUGUGACAUUUGCACAGUUUUUACUUAUCGCUGUGGAAGGCUUCCUCUUUGAGGCUGAUUUGGGAAGGAAGCAUCCGGCUAUCCCAAUAAGGUACUACGCCGUAAUGGUGACCAUGUUCUUCACCGUCAGCGUGGUGAACAACUACGCCCUGAAUCUUAACAUCGCCAUGCCCCUGCACAUGAUAUUUAGAUCUGGUUCUCUAAUUGCCAACAUGAUUCUAGGAAUUAUCAUUUUGAAAAAACGAUACAGUAUCUUCAAAUAUACCUCCAUUGCCCUGGUGUCUGUGGGGAUAUUUGUUUGCACUUUCAUGUCAGCAAAGCAGGUGACUUCUCAGUCCAGCUCAACUGAGAAUGAUGGAUUCCAGGCGUUUGCAUGGUGGUUACUAGGCAUUGGGGCACUGACUUUCGCUCUUCUGAUGUCCGCAAGGAUGGGUAUUUUCCAAGAGACUCUGUACAAACAAUUUGGGAAACACUCCAAGGAGGCUUUGUUUUAUAAUCAUGCCCUUCCACUUCCUGGUUUCAUCUUCUUGGCUUCUGACAUUUAUGACCAUGCAGUUCUGUUCAAUAAUUCUGAAUUGUAUCAGGUUCCAGUCAUUGGUGAGACAGUGCCCAUCAUGUGGUUCUACCUCCUCAUGAAUGUCAUCCCUCAGUACGUGUGCAUCCGGGGCAUCUUCAUCCUCACCACAGAAUGCGCCGCCCUCACCGUCACCCUCGUCGUGACGCUGCGCAAGUUCGUCAGCCUCAUCUUCUCCAUCUUGUACUUCCAGAACCCUUUCACCCCGUGGCACUGGCUGGGCACCUUGUUUGUCUUCACUGGGACCCUCAUGUACACAGAGGUGUGGAACAACCUGGGGGCCGCCAAAGGCCAGCCUCAGAAGGAGAAGAACUGAGGCCGGCCUGCAGUAGAGACACCAGAGGCUAAUGGGCCGGGGCCUGGCCGCCAUUUCACCUUGGUUAAUGCUGAAUUACCCGCCGUGUACCAGGGAAUCCUCAGAGGGAGGGACUUCUCAUUUCUCAUGGCUCUGCAGACGCACAUUUGUGGACCCUGAGUAGAUGCCCCUCUAUCCUGAAGUAGAAAAGAGAACGGUUCUCCGCUAUCGGGUAGCCCUGUUCAUUUGUUAUUUCUGUUUUGUUUACCAAAAUAUUCAGCACUGUACUGGCUUACUGAAUUCUGAGUCCCCAGAGCUACUCGUUUUAUAUCCGUGGUCUCAGACAAGAUUAUCUCUGUUCUGAUGAUUCUCUUCUGUAACAGCCAUCCUCCUCCGGGGGCCUCGUCCCCUUGCUCCGUCACCCUGCCACGCUCAGCUGCACUUUUAAGUCUGACGCUCCAGGCACCCUUACCAGGAACAACUGAAUGGCCGAGAGAACUGAGGCUCCGGGGAUGGUGGGGCUGGGCUUUAUCCCGAGAGUCGGGCAAGAAGCAGGUGCCCCUGUGUGCCCUGUGACACGGGCAAGACUGGUGCGAAUCCUUUUCCACGUUUUUCCUUGUUUUUUUCCCCUCUGUGCAACAGUCAUGUGCUUUCAUACCUUUUGCUUUCUGUACUUAGAACAAACUGCAGCAGUUCUCUAUGGCACAGUGUUAAAAGUUGUGUGAAUUGGGAAAAGAGAGACUUUUGCUCUCUGUCUUCACUCAGUUGUCUGAGUCAUUUAGCCUCAAGGUUAGAUGGUGAUGCCAGGAGGACCCAGGAGAAACUGGCCAAGAGGGCACUCGGAGAGCCACGGGCUCUCCCGCCUCUACACCCAGCCAGGCACUCAGGGCGGGUUCCAUGUGGGAGAGAGGUUAAGUCUUUGAAACGCUCCUUAAUCAGAGAGGUUCAUCUCUGCCUGGCAACUCUUUUCAGAGUUACGACCAGUCAGGCUAAUGGGUAAACCAAUAUAUUCAGUACAUGUGGGUGUGGUGUAUCAGGCCAAACCACAACUGAAAUAGAAGGUUUUUCUUUUUUUAAACAAGGCAUCUCAAUGUUCUUGCUGGGUUUGGGGUUGAGUGUGUUUUUUAUAUGUAGAAACCUGCCUCCCACCAUUUUGCUAAUCAUUUCAAAGGUCUGGUUUUCCUCCCAUGGGAUAAUUUUGAGAAAGAAGAACAGUGUUAGGGUGACGUGUGUAGGGGUGUGUAUGCUCUUGUAUAGUUUGUGAUCACUUGUGUGGAGAGGAGAACAUGAAAGUCAGUGUUUUAUUUCCUCUUUCUUCAACAGCCCCGACCUGCAUCUCAUCAGAUAUGUGAUUUGGGGUCCAUCAGACUUAGCAGCCUCUCUCUUUUUGCACAUAGAGGCCUCUCCUUCUGUGCUGGGCACAGAUUGUGUUCUUAAAUCGAGAGAGGUGGCUCUCCAGAUCUCCUGGGCUCACCCAGGGUAUGAUGUGUUUAUUCCACUAUCAGGAGUUGUUCUCUGAUGGGGUCUGAGAUGAGUGUCCUAGAAACCCUGGGUCACUUUGGGGGAGGUCAGUUAAGCUGCCUCGGGUUUUUUGUUACAUACGGUAUGGAUACUGUUUCUCCACCUAAGUCCCAGGGUUUUCAGAUCGAUUUGUUGUUCUGGACAUUGACAGCUGUGCUGUGCCAGUGAGAGUCUAUACUAAAAGAUGCUGAAUUAAGUGUGAAUUUGUUCAUGGACUCAAAAGGCAUUUAAUUUCUUUGAACUGUGUAGAGUUUCUCAGACUGGUGGUGCUAUAAAUACUAUGUGUUAAAUAGCCUCUUAAGAACAAAAGCUACUUUUCUUACUGUGUAAUAAAAGAACCUGUCCCCAGGGGCUGUUUGAUUGCUACAUGUCUGGAGUCUUGACAGGAUAACUAUACAGCUUUACAUGAAAUAGUAUCACUUUUUUUUUAAUGUGGAUAGGAAAUAUUACAAUUUUUAGUAAUUGAAACAGUGUUGAUGUACACAGACAGCAUUUAACUGGGUUCCUGAGGUUUUAGGUUCUGGCUUACGGAGUAUGUGUCUAAACACUUCUGCUGGUCUUAUUCAUAGGAGGAUGGGUAUGGAUAGCUUAGGGCACUCAUACAAUGAAAUGAGUGCAUGUAAGAACACAAUGCCCUGGGAAUUGGUUUUUCUUUCCAGUAGUUGCAUAUAAGGAAAUAUAGCUAACAGAUCCUAAUUAAUACUUUUUAAAAACAGUUUAUUCCCCUUGGUUAACUGUUUUUUCAAUCCUGGUUGAAUUUUAUUUCAAUCCCUGUUAAAAGGGCAAAUAAACCAUUUUAUAGAGGAUCCACCUCAUCUGUAACUGGAGAAGAAAUGUCUGUUAAAUGCCUCUCCUCUAUCUCUGGAUCAAGACCGUGCAAUUUUGUGCCCCAGAGAGAGAGGAUAUGGUUUGUUUACAAGAGAGAUUGAUCUUUAAGGCAUCCAAAACUCUACCCUUAGAGCAAAGAUCAAAUAGCAAAUGACUAGCCAGAAAAUACAAGUUUUGUGUGUGUAAAUAUACCUGUGAACUCACUUCAUAGCUUGACCAGGGUCAUAAAUUAGGCAAAAGGAGAAAAUUGGGGAUAUUUGAGUUAUUUCAUUUAAUGUCUGCAUAUCCUUUACCACAGUUCCAUUGUUGUGUUAUAAAUGCUUUUUCAUUUUUUAUUAGGAAUUUAUUUUUGAUCUUUUAUUUUCUUUUUCAUCCAGCUGAAACCAUUAAUCCAUUUAAUAAGUUUCUGUCAAGUUCUGAAGUAUUUGGACACAAUCUGGAUAGUCUUUUCCUUCUUUCUGCAGUUACCCAAAAUGAAUCUGGUCCCUGAAAUUUGGUCAUUGUGUCCAGUGAAGAAAAACACAGAAGCUGAGUUGAUCUCUGCCAACCUCACCAAACCCCCUCCAUUCUUCUGGGAAGAUUACUUGGUGUUUUAUAAGGAUUAUUAUAGCUUGUGUCAUUCCCUGAGCACCUUUCCUCCCUUCUGCAUAUUUUUUUUUUUUCACAUCCUAACCCCUACCUCCAAUUUCUUCAGCAGCCUCUGGUUACUCGCAGAGUUUUCUACUGAGCGACACCUAUAACCUUGUAUCUAUUUAUGCCUCUAUUCUUUGGGGCCUCUAGGUGUCUUUUGUGGAUUUUUAUAGGAUAUACAUAUCUGUGUAGCAUGUAUUUUGUUAUACAUUGUUUUAAGCACUGAUACUAGGGGUGUGUCUAUAUACAGAUACAAAUAUCGGGCAGAGCGAAUGUAUGUGUAGAUGAGUAAGAACAAGAAGGGUUAAUGUACAAAUGUUUAUAUACUGUUACAGCUCAAAGUGGGGUGGAGAAUCCUACCAAUCCUACCACAUUCUUGUCUAUAUUUGGGAAGCAGUAGUUUUCAUCUUUUGCUCUUUUUACCCUACCUCUAGCUGACUUCACUCACAGUGCCAAAUGUCUAUGGUGAGGGGAGGUGGGCCGCAUUAGGUCAGGAGUAAUUGUAAACCAAUAAAUUCGUUCUGGGCUGGGGGACACACUUAUUGGUGGGCUAGCACAUAAGCCAAUGUAGCAAAGAUCUGAGCAUCUCCAUAAAUGCACAGUGAAAGACACCCUAACAUGGAGAUAGGAAAUCAAGAUCCUACAUUUGCUGUAGUUUGUUUCUCUUUGGCUAGAACUAGGAGCAUUUUGGUCUCAAUAGCUUUAUUCUGAAAAAUGUCCAUGGAAGCUCAGUCUUAGGGUGAAAGAACUGUCAGUAUAGAUAAAAUCCAUUAUGGAUGUGUGACCUUUGGAAAUGAGUAUAAAUAGUAAAGUUAAUAAUAAGCAUUAGCAUACAUGUAGUGUGCACCAGGCUGGGCUAGGAGACACUAGUUGUGUGUGCUCUUUCUAGGGCCUUCCUUACGGUCGGCACCUCAGAGAAGGGAGGGACCAGGAUCUGACUUGCAUCUCAUGAAUAAAUAAAUCCUCGCCAAGAUCUCUUACUCCCUCAAGUUUCUGAGAAAGCUUCUAAUGGUUCUUGAUACCUGUUCCCACCCUUCAUCAGUAGGUCAGCAAGAAAGCAAAUAGGACAACAUUCCUGAGAUUCUAAGCCAGAGAAGGAAGGGAGGAUGCACACCAGGAGUUGUGCAGAUGCUGCUUUCUGCUCUCCAGUUGCCAGUGGGAGGAGGGCAGAGCAUUACAUAUUUAGCACCUUGCAUCAUUUGAUGCUCAACGCAAGCAGAGGCCCUCAGGGUACCAUUAAAGAUGCUUAAAAGUUUUUGGAGUAGGCUGCUUGGGGUGUCCCUUACAUCUCCAAAGCUGGUAUAGUGGGUUUGCAUCAGCUGAUGCCUUGAGCUCAUUGUCUUUUUGUCUCCUCAGAAUCACAUGGAGAUUUACCUACUUAAAUCACUCAGCGUUCUACCAAAUGCCCUCGAUUUCAAUCAAGUAAGGCAAGCUGCAGGGGUACCAGCCAUAGGUGGGUUGGGGGGAGGAAAGCUUGGUCUCCAUUUAGAAGAAAUAAGACUUAUACUUUUUAAAGUAAACGUUGUAAUGAUUCUUUGGCACACUGGAUUAUUUAUAGCUUUUGAGAUGUAAAGAAGACUCCGUGAACCAGGAGCAGCAGUAAUUAUUCCCCGACGUGAUGAAAAUGUUCUUUGUGUGUUGCUUGCAAUCACAAGUCAUUUCUGUGCUAGUUGCUUUCAUUCAAGAGAAUGGCACCAUCCUCCCCCAAAAGAGGAUGAUUUUUAAAGUAGGAUUUUGUAACAGAUUAUGUGGCAUGGGGCUGGGGAAAGAUGAUGGGGAUUUGAUUUUUCCAGCCUCUGAGCUCUUCAUUCAUAUUGUGAUUUAAGAAAAAAGAUGGGGGGGGGGGUGCGCGGUGGCUAGACAGUAGUAGAAUAUGUAGAACAGCUAAGACAUUAGUGAGUAUUCAGAUUUUGAGCUGUGUAAAUAUCAAAUGUCAGCUUCCAGCCUUCUGAGUUAUUUGAGCAGAGAGUUAUGGAGAAAAGGGAGAUUUUGUGAAUAAAAUGUUUUUGCCAAACAAA